This is a non-coding RNA of Picea glauca (white spruce), 121 nucleotides long. The record is from Rfam. Lineage: Eukaryota; Viridiplantae; Streptophyta; Pinopsida; Pinales; Pinaceae.
ACAUGCCUACAACAUAGUGCUAAUGCAUUGGAUCCCAUUAGAACUCCGCAGUUAAGCACCCUCAGGAUAGAGUAGUACUGGGGUGGGUGACCACUCGGGAAGUCCUAGUAUUUUACAUGCC